Molecule: microRNA precursor, 79 nt
Filed under: Pelobates cultripes (western spadefoot toad)
Lineage: Eukaryota; Metazoa; Chordata; Amphibia; Anura; Pelobatidae
Source: RNAcentral
GUGUGUGUGUGUGUGUGUGUGUGUGUGUGUGUGUGUGUCUGACAGGUAGACAGACACACACACACACACACACUCACUG